This 72-nucleotide transfer RNA is filed under the name Camelus ferus (Wild Bactrian camel). It matches the Rfam family "tRNA". From Rfam's summary of the family: Transfer RNA (tRNA) molecules are approximately 80 nucleotides in length. Their secondary structure includes four short double-helical elements and three loops (D, anti-codon, and T loops). The record is from Rfam by way of RNAcentral. Lineage: Eukaryota; Metazoa; Chordata; Mammalia; Artiodactyla; Camelidae.
GAGGGUAGAGCUCAGUGGUAGAGCAUGUGCUUAGCAUGCACGGGGUCCCUGGCUCAAUCUCUGGUACUUUCA